GAUGAACGCUGGCGGCGUGCCUAAUACAUGCAAGUCAAGCGAACGGACGAGAAGCUUGCUUCUCUGAUGUUAGCGGCGGACGGGUGAGUAACACGUGGAUAACCUACCUAUAAGACUGGGAUAACUUCGGGAAACCGGAGCUAAUACCGGAUAAUAUUUUGAACCGCAUGGUUCAAAAGUGAAAGACGGUCUUGCUGUCACUUAUAGAUGGAUCCGCGCUGCAUUAGCUAGUUGGUAAGGUAACGGCUUACCAAGGCAACGAUGCAUAGCCGACCUGAGAGGGUGAUCGGCCACACUGGAACUGAGACACGGUCCAGACUCCUACGGGAGGCAGCAGUAGGGAAUCUUCCGCAAUGGGCGAAAGCCUGACGGAGCAACGCCGCGUGAGUGAUGAAGGUCUUCGGAUCGUAAAACUCUGUUAUUAGGGAAGAACAUAUGUGUAAGUAGCUGUGCACAUCUUGACGGUACCUAAUCAGAAAGCCACGGCUAACUACGUG
This 497-nucleotide ribosomal RNA is filed under the name uncultured bacterium. RNAcentral's name for it is "partial 16S ribosomal RNA". It matches the Rfam family "Bacterial small subunit ribosomal RNA", at positions 28 to 507 of the family's 1533-position model. The record is from RNAcentral.